GCCUGGGUGGCUCAGUCGGUUGAGCAUCCGACUUCGGCUCAGGUCAUGAUCUCACAGUUUGUGGGUUCAAGCCCCACAUCAGGCU
RNAcentral lists this transfer RNA (85 nucleotides) under Felis catus (domestic cat). It matches the Rfam family "tRNA". Rfam says of the family: Transfer RNA (tRNA) molecules are approximately 80 nucleotides in length. Their secondary structure includes four short double-helical elements and three loops (D, anti-codon, and T loops). Further hydrogen bonds mediate the characteristic L-shaped molecular structure. tRNAs have two regions of fundamental functional importance: the anti-codon, which is responsible for specific mRNA codon recognition, and the 3' end, to which the tRNAs corresponding amino acid is attached (by aminoacyl-tRNA synthetases). tRNAs cope with the degeneracy of the genetic code in two manners: having more than one tRNA (with a specific anti-codon) for a particular amino acid; and 'wobble' base-pairing, i.e. permitting non-standard base-pairing at the 3rd anti-codon position. Lineage: Eukaryota; Metazoa; Chordata; Mammalia; Carnivora; Felidae. RNAcentral also lists the same sequence under 5 other names. The record is from Rfam by way of RNAcentral.